AGAGUUUGAUCAUGGCUCAGAACGAACGCUGGCGGCAUGCCUAACACAUGCAAGUCGAACGAGGUUUCCGCUUCGGUGGGGGCCUAGUGGCGCACGGGUGAGUAACGCGUGGGAACCUGCCCUGUGGUACGGAAUAACUCCGGGAAACUGGAGCUAAUACCGUAUGUGUCCCCUGGGACAAAGAUUUAUCGCCACGGGAUGGGCCCGCGUAGGAUUAGCUUGUUGGCGGGGUAACGGCCCACCAAGGCUACGAUCCUUAGCUGGUCUGAGAGGAUGAUCAGCCACACUGGGACUGAGACACGGCCCAGACUCCUACGGGAGGCAGCAGUGGGGAAUAUUGGACAAUGGGCGCAAGCCUGAUCCAGCAAUGCCGCGUGAGUGAUGAAGGCCUUCGGGUUGUAAAGCUCUUUCGCACGCGACGAUGAUGACGGUAGCGUGAGAAGAAGCCCCGGCUAACUUCGUGCCAGCCGCCGCGGUAAUAC
This 482-nucleotide ribosomal RNA is filed under the name uncultured bacterium. Its description in RNAcentral is "bacterial SSU rRNA". It matches the Rfam family "Bacterial small subunit ribosomal RNA", at positions 8 to 526 of the family's 1533-position model. The record is from RNAcentral.